This 434-nucleotide ribosomal RNA is filed under the name uncultured bacterium. RNAcentral's name for it is "partial 16S ribosomal RNA". It matches the Rfam family "Bacterial small subunit ribosomal RNA", at positions 29 to 507 of the family's 1533-position model. The record is from RNAcentral.
AGCGAACGCUGGCGGCAGGCCUAACACAUGCAAGUCGAACGAACCUUUCGGGGUUAGUGGCGGACGGGUGAGUAACACGUGGGAACGUGCCUUUAGGUUCGGAAUAACUCAGGGAAACUUGUGCUAAUACCGAAUGUGCCCUUCGGGGGAAAGAUUAAUCGCCUUUAGUGCGGCCCGCGUCUGAUUAGCUAGUUGGUUGAGGUAAUGGCUCACCAAGGCGACGAUCAGUAGCUGGUCUGAGAGGAUGAUCAGCCACAUUGGGACUGAGACACGGCCCAAACUCCUACGGGAGGCAGCAGUGGGGAAUCUUGCGCAAUGGGCGAAAGCCUGACGCAGCCAUGCCGCGUGAAUGAUGAAGGUCUUAGGAUUGUAAAAUUCUUUCACCGGGGACGAUAAUGACGGUACCCGGAGAAGAAGCCCCGGCUAACUUCGUG